AAACCUUGAAACUGAUGUUACGAAGAACAUACUAAAGUCGGUACAAGGAACGAGGACAGAAAAAUCCUAGAAAGAGGGUUUGAUAACGGUUGGUAGACACCAACACUAAUGAUGACAAACUCUCCUUAGCUUCAAAUAAAGUUUAUGUAUCUGAUAGGUGUGGAGGAUGAGCUUGUACCGAGAUCUCAAAGGACCUUUGUCGAAGAUGAAAGCUAUUAGGUGGUAGGAAAAUGUGAGUGAUUCCAGAACAGUAGGUAAUAGCUGUAGAAAAAUGUCUCAUUUGCUUAAAUUUGACUGUGGUAUUCAUGAGCAAUAGAGCAUAGACUAUCAAAUCUCUACCGACCCGUGAAGGCAGAAGAAAUAGUGGAUCAAAACUAAGCACAACAUCACGGCUUUGGACUAGGUGAAUCCUGUAGACUUAAUCUAGAUGAUAGAUUGUAGACCAACAAGAUGCUUCAAAGAAGGAUCGAUGACCCGAGUUCAUAAUCAUUCAGCAAAGAUAAAAUCUUAUUAUGCCAUGAUUUUUGAGUGGCCUUUGGUAGAAGACAUUGCAAAUCCAUAAAUGGGCCAGACCCAACCUAAAGCAUUGGUUGGGGAGUCCAUAAUCUGUGUUGGAAUGGUGGGGCUCAGCGAUGUGACGCGACGGAAGAGUAAAGCUGACAGUGGAGUAGUAACAGCUGUUGGAAGGGGAGAGAGCAUAUAUAUAGAGGGAAGACGUCGGAGGGCCGUGCCGACGCAGCGGAGAGACGAUCUCUUGUCCAGAAAUAACUCGAAAUGAAGGCGACGAUAUAGACGCCAAUAGAUCUUGCCACUGAAGCAUCGAAUCGAGGAGGUGAGGAGGAGCAGAUCCUGUGAGUCUGUCCUCGACCUGAGCAGCUACAGUGUUUGUGCACAUAUCGAGAGGGAUCACGGCAAUGAAAGGCUGAGUAGAGGAAGCAAAAAUUAAAGGGUGAGCAAAAGAGGCGGCGGCGGAGGGGUGAGCGAAGAAGGCGGCGACUGAAGGAUGAGCAGUAGAGCUGGCGAUGAAAGCUCUACUUUGGGACAUGGUGAAACAGACGAGAUAAAGGUGAGCCGAAGAGCGGACGAUGGAAACAGAACUUGGCAGUGAACGAGCUAUCUCCAACGGAGAAGUAACCGGAGACCAAGAAGGUGGCAUCAUGAGUAACCAGAAGACAUAGAGGACUAAGAGAGGAGAGGAGCGGUGGUGACGCCAGCAAGCUACUUUGCCGGCGUCAAAAGGCAUUGCUAGGAAACAGCGCUUCGAAGUGUAGGUCAGAGAGCAAAUUUUAAUUAGGGCGAACUCCACACUUGUACAUCAUUAAAAUCAAAAAUAUCAUGACUUUUUUCCUUAAAAUCUAUAAUGCCUGCAUUAUCCAGACCUGGCUCAAUUUUCAAUGUUUUUUUAUCUUUGAAAAUUGAGACGUUAUAUAUGUGUUCUAAGAAUAUGCUGUAGAGACAUACUAUUAAAAUUAAAAAAAAAAAUUACAAAGCAAGCUUGGCGAAUGUGGAGUAAGCCAGAAUCUCUGUUGGCCAUAAUAUUAAAGAGCAGAUAUUUCCAAAAUACAAGCUUUCUAUCAUGUGGUAUGGGAACUAGGCCGUCGUACGCUUGGCAACGCUUAAUGCACGGUAGAGAACUCCUAAAGCAGAGACUUGUGACAUCGAUUGGACCAGUAACAAAGACGAGUGUUUGCUCUGAUAACUGGAUCCUUGACACUAUACCAAGACCCAUAUGUAACGUCAAGAUAGGUUUGUUGAUGUGAUUGUUAAGGUUUCUAAUUUAAUGCAUAACAAGACAAGGAGAUGAAAUUAAUUACGAGCGAAAGAUGCCUUUACUGAGGAAAAUGCAGUUAAAAUUUUCAGCAUUAAGCCAUCCUCGUUUGGGGUUUUACCAAACAUGGAUAUACAUCCCAGAGUGGUUGUCGUUUUUUAGAUAUAUUACAAAACUAUCAUCACCCCCAGCUGUAACCACUCAACCCAUAGAGAAACAGCUGUGAGAGCGAUCUGGAAGACCAAAUGUCCCGCAAAAUUGAAGCACUUCCUUUGGAAGGCGUUGUCAUGAGCUUUAGCAAUUAAAGAGCGUUUAAGGUCUAGGUUCAUCCCAGUAGACCCAGCUUGUGUUGCUUGUGGAGCUAACUCUGAAAGCAUAUGUCAUGUUUUGUUUCAGUGUGCCACGACAGUCGAGACGUGGUCGUCGUCAUGAAUUCCUUUUCCAGCAAAUGGUUUCUCGCCAGGGUUUGUUUUCUUGAACUUGUUCCACCUUGUAGUUAUCAAUACAAGAAAGAGGAUGCCACUCUCUUGAGAACGUUUUCCUGGAUUUUAUGGUACCUUUGGAAGACCCAAAAUGCACUAGUCUUUGAGCAAAUGAGAUAUGAAUCUGCAUCAGCUCUAGUUCGUGCAAAGGAGGAUUUAGACAUGUGGUUGUCAAUAAACUGCUCUGAUACAUAGUCUGUUACUUUGACAGGUCCUAAUGUAGGGUCAACAUUGGGCUGAAAGUGCCCUCCUCAUAAUGCUAUUAAAUGUAAUUUAGGUGCCUCGUGGAUAAAUAGCUCACAGACAAGUGGAGCUUCAUUGAUCCUACAUCAAUCCAACGGAUCGGUAAUGCUGCAUAGCCACAGAUCCUACUCUGCGAUCUCAUCUCUAUGAGAAGUAGAACACUGGUUUAUAUACUAGGCAGUAGAUAGCAUGAGAAGCACAAGACAGAGGAACAUCAUCUUUAAACCGUCUUUCGCCCUUGCUAGAGAGAUUUUUCUCAACCCGAAUGGUUUUCCAGAGUUGGACGAACUAACACAAGCUAUCUUACAAUUGCUGAAUGAUCUGGAGGCUUGGAAUUUUUCUCACGCAAAUAUGUCAAAGAAUAUGCAUGCAACUCGCAUUGCAGAAAGUACCACGAAAGACAACCAAACCCAAAUCCUAUAUAGCCCGUGGGUCGUUAAUGGUCAAAUCAUGUGCUUACUGAAAAAAGGAGACAUGGUCAAUAACCAGCUCUGGUUUUUUUCCGCAUUUUACUAUUUGUUGUCCUCUGUUAUGAUGCCUAUUGGUAUCGGACUUUUACUUUUUAUCUUUCUUUUCAUGUUGUUUUUUCUCUUUUUUGUACUUUAUACUCUGGUUUUGGUGUGGCGUGUCAUAGGCACCCCACCAUUUGAUUAUGAUGAAUAUUUCAGUGUUAAAAAAAAGACUAUCUAAACGGUUUAGGCGCUAAAUGUGCAUGAACCAUGGCGAUUCGUCAAUAAUGGUUUAUUUUGAUGAAUUUUAGCUACAUAUAAUAACUAAAUGUUGUUUGUUUUUUUUUUGAGCAAAAAAUGUUUGUUGAGCGAAUGUUUUUGUGUUGUCUUUUUUUUUUUUCAAAUGAAUGUAUUGGUCUAAUUUAACCUCAAAUUUACACAAUGGACAAAAUCAGUAUAACUGUGGGGGAAUGCGUAAACGUAAUAAAGGGUCUUCAGUUACAACAAAAUUUUGUUUAAGAACAUUGCUAAUUCAUUUUUAUUUACUCGUCUGUAAUAGAUAUAUCUAUCAUUUUCUCUAUUUUUAGUAGAAAAAUAAUUAUUAUAUUUUACACUAUUUAAAUGAAGGCUAUUUUGAAAAAUACAUUCGAAUAAACUUUAUUUUUAUUAGAGACUCUUCCUUUUAAAAAAUAUGCAAAAUACAUUGAAAAUAAUCUAAUAAAUUUGACAUGAUUCUAGACAUUCUCUUCGCCCGGUUAUUAACCAGUGCCAAGGGAUUUUAUCCAAAUGGUUCAGAUUUUCUUAAGCAUUUUUAAUUCCCACUUCAAAGUUCCUUCCUGGGUUUUAAAUGCUUUGAGCUAAAUGUAAUUCCAUGAUUAACUAGCUCUUGUAAACAUACUUCAUGUUCCUUUUUGAUAUAUUUCCAUAUUUAUAGAACAAAAAAAAACAGAUAAACAAGAAUGACAAAAACAAUAUGAAAAUGAGUUUUUCUAGAGAUACUUCCUUCAUUCAAAAUCGCUCUGUGGUACGACCAUUCAGUCCCACAAUACAACUGUAUCAUCUUAUGAUUCGCAUGCAGAAUCCAAAAUCAAAAGCAUGACGAACCAGUGACAAUUCACACUCCAAAAGCAAUACAAUUGUGUCAUCUUAAUGUCUCAGUGGUCCUGUCCAAUAUGUUUUCCUUGAAUCUUAAUCUCAAAUCUUAUCAAACUGACAAAAUUAAACAUGUCUCUCAAACCAUAUUAUUUCUUCACUUGGCUUGUAUUGCCCACUUUUACAUCCCAUGUGUAUAUAACAUUAAUUCUCCCCAAAUCAACUUUGUUUUCCAAAUCCGAACAAAGCAAAUGUCCAUGUCAAUAAAUAAACUCUUCACAGAAGCCCCUCCUAAGUAAAAACAAAACAUCACAAGACCCACGUGGGGAAGAACAAACAAACCAAGCCAACUAAUAAAUUAUAAGAGAGACCAGUUUAUAUACAUCCGCAAGGCAACUGCCAUCAGGAAACUCCCAAAUCAACAACAGCUAGCUAAAGCAACCCUACUUUCACAUUUCCUUUGUCACGCCUUUAUAUAUCACAAAACUCACAAGAGGGAUAAAUACAGAACAAGAUUGCUUUGAAAUAUCAACAAACUUUGAUAACAAUGGCCUUAGUUAUACCGAUUAUUUUUAUCGUGGUUGCUGGCUCCCUCUGUGAGGUUGCCUUCAAGCAGGCAGUCAGCAAAAAAUUUCAACCACCGGUGCAAAAGAUUGGACACGACAUACUGUAAAACAGCACAAUUGAACUUAAAGUGAAUAAGCACAGUAAUUUCACGCUGAUGUGACUGCUCAAAUAAGAAAAGACCGACUUGGUUUCAACAUCUGCAAGCAAGUUACGAGCUUUCUGGUUUACAGGAAGUUGAAGCUGCUCCUGUCCGAUUAAAUCGAUCUAAGAGGAGCCUACCAUCUCAGGCAGUUUUGUUUUCUUGCCUCCAAAAUGAUUAUACAAGUGUAGCACGGGAACAUUUGUGACAUCCUGCCACAACAGCACUGAGUUACCAAUUCCUGGGUGGUUCAAUUAAGGAAACCAUGAUUAUGAUUUGGUUUUCAACUUUCAAGCUAAUGAAGCCUCUGCUAAUAAGACUUAAGUGUGGUUCACAGUUGAAAGGAUGUAACAUAAAAGAUAAAUGUAUCUGCUUGUAUUUUAGCGUGGCCAGCUUCCCAUCCUUCAGAAAAAGGUUAGAUGCCAAAAAUGAUUAGGAGAGAUACUAAAAGGAAUGAAAAUGCUCAAAAUGAGAAUUCUGAUUCCUAAUCUGAUCCCAAAGAAGCUCACAUACCACUAGAAACUCCAUUCAUCGGAAUCAUCAAAAUCUUCCUCAGAACUCUCCAUACACUUCACUUCACCAGAGACUAUCCAGAGAACUAUAAAUUCAAAUUAAGGAGAUCAAAAUCACAAUCACGCUUAGUAGUCACGGAAAAGGUAAACAGUGAGACGAAACGAGAGAAGAGAGAAAGCGAGUGAGAUACCUCUGCUCCGGAUGAGCCAAUUUCGGCAUGCAUCACCACAGCUCCGACUGUUUACACACCGUCGCCGGUUUGUCGAGGUUUUAGACUGCAAUCAAAUUUAAAUUUUUUUUUCUUGGAAAUUAAAUAAAAUUUUAUAAAGUUCAUAAAUAGAUCUUAAGCACAAUUUUAAAAUUUGUAACUAAAUUUUAAGAAAUAAAAAAUAGAAAAUUAUGCUAAGUUUUAAUUUUCAGUUACAAGAAAAUGAAGGUAAAUUAUAGAAAUUAAAUUGGUAUAUUUCUCAAAUGGAAAUAAAUGACACUUUGAAACAUACGUUUGUCUUUCCACACAUUUUUUUUUUUUUGAUAACCAUAGUGUGAUCCAAAAUCUUUCUAGGCACAAAGACUAAUCACUACGAAGUCCGCAGGAUCCGCGUUUUCUUACCACUUAAAACGUUCCGGAUGGCCAAGAGAAAUCGAACUCAGGGCGGUAUUCACAGCUGUGAGCCCUUUACCACUUUUCCACACAUAUUUGACUUAUUCCAAAUUAUGAAUAUAAAAAAUUUGAUUUAAUCUAAUAUAUUAAAAUAAUAUUUAAAUAGUCAAAAUUUUAAAAAGAUAGAAAAAGGAGAUUAAAUUUCCAUAUAAUACAUUACUAAUACACAAUGAAAACUUUUUUUUUAAGUACAGAUUUUAUAAUAAAUGUUUUACUAUGUUUAGACUAUAUAUCGUGUUAUAUACGAAGCCAAGAAUAAAUAUUUUACUAUUUGGUUGAUGUUCUCAAAGUUUAAAAUAUACUCCCACAUUGUAAUCUUUUGUUUUAUGUUUUAUAAAAUUUAGUUACAUUCUAAUAUUUAUUUGAGUCAAUUGGCUAAAAAACCAAAAGAAAGGAUAAAAUUAACAAUCUGCCUUAAAAGCACCGUUGUGGACCACGUGUUGGAUCAGAGCUGGAUCAGAGCAAAUCAGAUUUGGAGCAUGUGCAUGUGCAGUGUAUAAUAGUGAUUUUUGGUACAUAGCUAAUUUUGCAUAAAUGCGUAUGUUGGGAAUAUAAAUACCCUAUUUAUUUUAUAUUUCAUAAAACUUAGAAUAGAAAUAUAUUAUUUUGUUAUUUUUAAUGAAAUUUAGACUUUAUUUUCAAAUCACCUGAACUUGGUUUGGUUCGGUUUGAUUAUUCCAGGUGUUAUUUCAUCCACUUUCAGUUAUGGGUUAUGUGUAUAUAUACUAACUAUAUAUGUAGUUAAGAAAGUGUUGAAUACUAAAUGUAAAAAGAAAAGGAAGUAUAUAUAGUAAGUAUAUGUUAAACAACACCAUUUGAAAUAUGAAAUCCAUGAAAACAUUUGAAACUCUAAGAGAAUUUGGUAGUUUAAAGAAACUAUAAAACCUUUUCUUAAAAAAAAAACUAUAAAACCUUUGCAACGUCCACCCUAGGAAGGCCAUAAUGGCACCAAGAGUCCCCCCAAACACUUCAGUGUUACAUACAAAACUGACCAAACGUUUAAGAAAAUAAAUGUGGCUUUUGAGUAUUAACAAUGACUAAAAAAAAGAGAGUAUUAACAAUGAAGCGUUAAAGCCUUAAAGGGAACUCAUGGGGACAUUUGACUCUCUUUUUCUAGCUCUUUCCCUGAUAAACAACACUAGCUAGUAGCUGCAUGCCUUAUUUAUAUAUCUGUGCAAAGGGUUUCCAAUUCUUCCUUUUAAUUUUCCAAUAAGAAUUUUCAUAUUGGGACCAAUAAUCAUAUAUUCGAAUCAUACAAUUAAAGAACGUGCGAAAAUUUUGAUUAUGUGAAAGAUGAAUGAUGAAUGAUGAAUCGAGUCGAAAUAUUGGGCCUUGUUAAAUAAUUGACCGAAUAUUUUAUUUUGGCCUUCCAUUUGCUUGAAAUUUUUUGAACGACAUAAGUAUUCCUUGCAUGGACUCUUCCUCUGAGAUGUCUUUCUCCUUCUUUUUUAUUGACAUCCCCUUCGUCAAAUUGCUGCCCUGAACGAUUAUUCUCCAUUUAAUCUCUCAUGCAAAUUGCAUGCGUCUAAACAAUAUAGAGUGUGAGAUUGUUUACAUUUCCAGAUUGCAGUGUUAAAAUGAAUAUUGUAUUUUUUUACAACAAACGACUAUUCUAUUACUCAAAUUUGAAGUGGUUUUGAUAACCAAACCGGAAUAGAACAAUCAAUGUAAUAAAGCUCUUUAUAAAAAGGACUAUAAAAAAGUUGUGCAUACCUAGCUAAAAAAAUCAUCAAUUCCAUUUUGGGCCUUUGAAAUGUAAAAAAUCUUGAAGUUCGAAAAACAUAUCUUGAGAGUAUGUAUCGUCUCCAAUUAUGUUGCAAAACUUUGCCUAGUUUGGAGUUUCUUUAUCAUUGCUAUCAAGUCUUUGCAAUCAAUCCCAAAAUUUUGACAUGUUGAAUGUUGGAGCAUGCUUUCCAAUUCCAUAAUCUUUCUCAGUGCCUCUAAUUCUAUAUGCAAAUGAUUUUCGUUAUGCUAGAAUAUUGAGUUUAUAUCCAAAAGAAGUAUCAAACUAUCUCUCUCCUCGAACCUCCAACUUCUUUCUUAUCUUCAAAUCAGCGACGAUUUCUAGCUCCGGUAGCCACCUUCUGCACAUGUGGUAAUCAGAAACUUUCUCCUCUUUGUUAUUUGCUCCGUUUUGUCGUCUUCCGUCCUGCCAUUGAUAUGCUUGGUGUUAUGGUUGGAGCUCCGCUGAAGGUUCGUCCAGAUCUGCUAUGGGGAUGUAGAUAUCCGAGGUCUGGGGCUCUGCUCUGGAUUACCAGUGAAGCGGUGGGGGUUGUGGUGGAUCAUAUAGGAAAUGUAAAUGGUAGUAUGCAUUUCGUUAUACUGAGUUUUUGUGCAUUUGAAACAAAGGGACUAAUGGUAGUAAGAAAUUUUAUUUGUAUUUACAAUGUAAACAUAAAAAUUGAUAAAUCACUAUUUGUAUUAAAUAUACAUAAGCUUUUUGUAUUCCCAUCUAUCCUAUACUAAAAGGGACUAAUAAAACCCUGUGAGCGUAUCCACGUCUGAUUGAAAAAUCAGCCAAUAAAGAGAUGCCAGCUCAUUGUUAGUAUACACGUAGAUUUAUCGCUUUUUCAGAAAAAAAAACAAUUGAUGAUAUCUCUUCUCGUAAACGUACCGACGCUUCUCCUUUCUCCUUCUCCACUAACUUUCUCGCUCUUCCAAAUCUCCUAUAUUCCCCUCCCUACUCACUAUAUAUCUCACAAGGUUUUACUCCGUCAAGCAUCAUGUGCAAACACACCGGCGAAAUCAUUCACUACCGUCAAGGAAAAAAUUCACAAAAUUCAGUGUCAUAGCCUUCGGAUCCCGUAUUACAUUCAAAUCACAUGUUUCUCCAUUUAUAAAAUGGUAUUCCUUGCUCCCCUCCAAACCAUCUUAUAUGUCUCUCGAACCAGACUAUCUUCAUCUUGAAAAUUUGCUCAAGGCGGAGAAAAGAAGAUAGAACGGAUGAGAGAUGACAUUCGUUGUUGAAGCUCAAUUACGAUGCGUUAUAGAAGCACGGUCUAAAAAUCUUCUAUGACGGUUGACUUUAUCUCCGGAGAUAACUCGAUGGGCUCUGGUGUUACGACUUCGUUGAGAGACGGUGGAGUCAGCGAGCGUCAAUGCUUGUGCCUCAGUCUAUGUUCUCUUGCUGCGUUCUCGACGGAGAUCCAGCUCUAUCAGGAUUGAUGAGCGUCAUUGUCGCUGGAGGAUUCACUACUUCUCGGAGAUCCAUCUCUAUCAGGCGGAAGCUGCAUCUAUAUAUAGACCAGGUGUUGUAAGGAGACUGUUGUGACACGGCUUCUACGGCUUUGGGCAGCUAGAACUGUGAAGAAAGGUGGGGGAGCUUAUGGGUGUGGGCUUGGUGAUGCAAAGAGAUUGAUUGCUCGGAGAUUUAUUGACACCUCUGUCCAAAGUGACAUGAAGCUAUGGCCUUUCAAGAUCUUACCUGCUCCUGCCGAUAAACCAAUGAUCGUCGUCAACUACAGAGGCGAAUAGAAACAGUUCGCCGCCGAGGAGAUCUCUUCCAUGGUUCUCAUCAAUAUACGUGAGCUCUAUUGAGAAUUACGAAUGCGGUGCGGAGCCACUUAUUCAGCUAUACAAGAUUCUACUGAAGGCACCUGGUGUAUAUGGAGCACGGUUCAGUGGUGCAGGCUUCAGGGGAUGCUGUGUAGCCUUUGUGGAUGCAUAGAAAGCUGAGGAAGCUACUUCAUAUGUGAAGGAUCAAUACGAAAAGGCCCAACCCGAGUUUGCGAAGAAACUGAGUGGAGGUAAACCUGUUCUCAUCUGUGAAGCAGGUGACUCUGCUCGCGUUCUCUGUUCAAACUCGAAGUUUUUUUCCCUCGAGUGCUCUGUUAUAGUUGUUGAUUCUUAUUUGUUCAUCCUCUUUUUUUAUUCUCUCUCUGUGAGAUUCUCUGGUCGGUUUAGUCAAGAGAUAGAAAUGGAGCAUGCAUUGAUACGUUUUUAUUGUUACCAACAAUUUGACAAUACGUAAUGUAAAUCAUUUAUCUUUCUGUUUUGUUUUGUGUUUCUUCAAGUUCUGAAAUUGAAAGAUCUUAUAGGCAUCUCUUCCUAUCUUCAUUUUCCCAUGGUACUACGAGAAGAGAAUACCAUGUUGUAAUCGGCUAUUAACAGUAAUGUCAUGUUACACCUUUUUUGGUUUAUUCAUAAGAUUAUGCAAACAAAAGAUGCUACUUGAAUGGUUGAAACAAAUUAUUAUUCUGUAAUACCCCAUUAUUCUUUGUAACAUAAAAUCUAAGGCAAACCAUAAGUGCCACCUACUAUUGGUUUGUUUUAAACCGGAUCAGUAGAACAUUUUUACAAGUGGUACAAAGAAACACCAUAAUCACAGGAGAAACUACUCCGACUGUUUUUUUUUUCUAAUAAUGUUAGUAUCAUAAAAUGAAUAAUGAACAAGUUGAUACGAUGGUUCCUAAAUACCCAAUUUUUUUUUUAACUUAGGAACAGGAUUAGCUUUAGAAAGUGUCUUGAGAAAAAAAAGUGGCUUGAGCAACCAAUUCUAAAACAAAUAAAACAAGUUUAUUAGGACAGCUAGAUAGAAUAGGUGGGUCAACGUCAAAUUAGCAAUAAACGACUAGAGGGAGGUUCACACAAAGCUCAGUAGGCGGAGGCGGUAUGUUUCAACUGCUCAAGUCUCCUAAAAUAUAGGCUUCUGUCCUAAUAGUAUGGUAAAUUAAAUGCAGUCUUUUAAUUGAUUUCCACAUCUCAUAUUCUGAAGUUGAUGCCUGUUAUGAUCUUACAUACUUCGAGUCUCUUUAAUAUAUUUAUUGGCUUUUGAUUACGGUCCUUAUUGUUGAUGAUCAUGGAUAUCUCCACGCUUGAGAAGAUUCUUCAGGUAAAAAAAAACAAAGUCGCAGCAAACCCGUAGCUCUUAGUGACCACGUUUCUAUUACGCGAGACGAAGGCAUGAUCACCGUUAACGUCACCACCGCUUCCAACUUCUCCACACGAGAGAAAGUACAAUCUCCUUGAUUGGCUUUGCGUGAUUGCGUUGAACAAAGACAUGGACCGGUACGACCUAAGAUACUUAAACAUGUACAAGCUAAAUAUUAAACCUAUAUAAUGAGUUUUCUUUCGUAGUUUUCUUCCAGGGCUCAGUAAUAGGUGCUUACUUCAACAGUGUUGUAGUUUGACAGCAGAAGCUUUCAGAGCUUUGAGGGCAGUAUUUGACGGCUCAACUAAAAGAUGAUGACGUUCCCUUUUGUGUUCGUGGCUGAAAAUUUUCUUGCUUUUGUAUAUUUGGUGUAUGCAUGUAACUUCAAAUGUCUAUGUACUCCAUUUUUGUGUAAGUGGUGCAUGGAUACACGUCUAUGUAUGUGCUCCAUUUAGCUUAUAUAUCUACAUUGAUUCAAGUUUAUGAAGAAAAUUUGAAUUUGGAUGCUUGAUCGCUAAUCACACAAACUGAAAUACAACUAAAAUUAUAAUUAUCGAGCCUUGAAGAGCUUCCUUAAAACUUCCAAGCAGAUCAUCUCGAGAGUGUCACAAUCAUCAAGAACCACCACCUAUCAUGUCAUACAAUCCCCAUUACUAGCCAAAGCUGCUAAACACAUCUACAUUUACAAAGAAUAUGACCAUCGAAGCAAUAACUAUCCAUCCACUUGCAUUGCAUCUCUAACAAGGUAUAGUGAUCUAAUAACAAAAUGUUUAUUAGUGGGAAGAUAUAUGGAGCAACAUGGAAAGUUUUUAUAACUUCCAUGAGGCUAUAACAUUAAACUUUUAUAAGAAGUAAAUUAUUUGAUAUAAUCGGUUAUGCAACUCAAGUAAAUUUCUGAUAUAAAUAUAAUACUUUAUUAAUUUAUAACACUAUUAAUCUAUUAAAAUAUUUUCAAAUAGCAUGAGCAAAAUUUCCAACAAAUAAUUGUUAUAAAACAAAAAGUUCAAUAAUUGCUGAAAUAAUUUACAUAACAUAAUUAGUAAAAAAUUAAAGGUGAAUGAAAUUCCAUUAUAAAUUGAAAAUCUAAUAUAAACUGAAACAAAUAUAUAUAUUAUAAAACAUUUUUAAUAAUAUAUAUUAAUUAUUAUUUAUGAAAUUAUAAAUAUGCAUAUAUAACUUUAAAAUAUAACUUUAUAUAAUUUUAAAACAUUAUAUUAUUUCAAUUUAUUUAGUUCAAAGGUGGAUUAAUUUAUUAUCGUGAGAAAAAUAAAUAUUGUAAUAAAAUUAAAAUUUGAUGCUCUAAAAAAUAAAAAAGUAAUAGUUGUUCUUACUUUAGAUUUUCUUCAACUAUAUCAAAAUGAAAUGUAAAUCAAAAGGAAAAACAGAAAUUAAUACAUUUUCCUUAAUUUUUAAUUCAAUAAUUUUAUUUUUUCUAACAGAAAAAUGUUAAUGAUCCUUUCAACUCAAAUCAACAAAAUUUACUAAAAUUUAUAAAAUGAUAAUAGGAAAAACAGUUUGUGUUUAUUAUUCCAAUUUAAAGUAAAUUUUCAAAUGUUUUAUAAAAUUAUAAUAUAUUUUAAUAUAAUAUAAUUUUAAUGUAAAUAUACCCGCCCGUAGGGCGGUCCAAUCCCUAGUUAAAACUAAUGUUUGUGUUUUAAGAAAAGUUAAAACACCAAAGUUAUAUAGAAAUUAAAAGACCAUAGCUCACUAGUCAUUAUGGAUUAGUUCUGAAUAUAAAUCUGUAAAUGUGAACCUUUACAAAUAUCUUGAAUAUAUGUAUUAUGCUCUUCCGUCAUGCACAUAAUUCUGUUAAUCGUAUCUGACAUCAUCUAUUUGACUUUCGACUUUUCAAUGCGAUAUAUUUGGUACAUACCACGCGAUGCGCCACAUAUGUAGCUAGUUAAGUAGGUAUACAAAUAUUAAUCGAUCUAGCUUUUCAUCAUUUCAUAACCAGCGCGGACAUCAUGGAUUUGUUGUAGGAAUUUAUAUCAUCAUCAGUAACCCUUUCUCCAAAUUUACAAUAUAACAAAUCAAAUGUUGAAGAGUAGGAGAAUGUAGUGAGGACAAGCAAGACCAGUAUGGGCACUAUAAGCAUAUAAUGUAUAAACCAGAAUCUUUACGUGUAUGCAUCCUUUCUAUCUUGUGAAAAGCCGUAAAGACCUUUUUUUUCAAAAUGCUUAUUCGCUUUACUCUUUCCUUUAACCCCAAUUUGCGUCUAUAUUCAAUAUGCUUUUCUUGGCCAUCAUCUAUUUUUUUUUUCUCUUUAUCUCUUUCUCAUUGAAGCUUGCAAUUUAUCCCCAUCGCCUUUAACUAUAUAUUGAAAUGUAACUACAUCCAUCUUCUAAACUUCAAUUAUAUCAAUCUCUUGUAUUCAUAUUGCUACCCAUAUCUACAUGCAAUGCAAAUGUUUAUAUAUAAAACAAGAAUCAAUAUUUUUUGGUUGGAUGUCUCCUAGAGAUCCUCUGAACACUUCAUUGGGGAUACAUUUUUAAUGACAAUCACCCACUGAAGUGUUUGGGGGAACUCCCGGAUCCAUUCAACGGAUUUCAACUUGAUCAAGUUGAGAUUAUGUUGGUUAAUUUUUUUGUUUUUUAGCCAUCUUACAUUUUUAAAUGUUUAAGACUUUAACUGUUGGCUUCAAGGUAUAUAGGUCGGUGCAUGCAUACAGCAUAUACAUAAUUUUAUACGUAGAAUAUGAGUUGUUUUGUUCUUGUGUAGAAUUUAAUUUGGCCGCAAUUUCUUCGAUUCUUUCUUUUGGAAAUUGUCUGUUUGAUCUUCGAUUAACAGUUAAGCAUGAACUAGUAUAAAUUAUGAACUGUUGUUUUUGAUAUGUAAUUAGUCUAUUUGUUAGUUUAAAUUUCCUUCAUUCCACGAAUAGUCUAUGUUUUAGAUUAGGAUAACCAGUUAGUCUCUUAGUAUGUAGGGAUCAAAUGUAAGAGCAUUGGCGUUCAUAACUUUAAACCUUAUUUUAGGCAUCAUCUCAAUAAUGAUGAAAAUUAGAUAAAGUCGAAAGUUACGGUCUGGGGGUAUUCCAUCAAUACGCACGCAACAAGAAAUCUCGUCAACCGUCUCCUAGGUGGGUUUCGGCUCUCAGUAUCCUUGCAGUGAUCUAUUUUGCUCAAUAGAGAUGCUUCAUCUCUAUCUGCUUUUCUCUCGAUGUUACUUCUUUUCUUUUGCUUAGCGCCGUGCUCCCUCUUUAUAGUUUUAUCAAGAUAAUGGUUUUUUUAA
Molecule: long non-coding RNA, 14012 nt
Organism: Brassica rapa (field mustard)
Lineage: Eukaryota; Viridiplantae; Streptophyta; Magnoliopsida; Brassicales; Brassicaceae
Source: RefSeq, a predicted model, not a curated record